RNAcentral lists this ribosomal RNA (510 nucleotides) under Klebsiella pneumoniae. RNAcentral describes it as "bacterial SSU rRNA". It matches the Rfam family "Bacterial small subunit ribosomal RNA", at positions 564 to 1073 of the family's 1533-position model. Lineage: Bacteria; Pseudomonadati; Pseudomonadota; Gammaproteobacteria; Enterobacterales; Enterobacteriaceae. The record is from RNAcentral.
AGCGCACGCAGGCGGUCUGUCAAGUCGGAUGUGAAAUCCCCGGGCUCAACCUGGGAACUGCAUUCGAAACUGGCAGGCUAGAGUCUUGUAGAGGGGGGUAGAAUUCCAGGUGUAGCGGUGAAAUGCGUAGAGAUCUGGAGGAAUACCGGUGGCGAAGGCGGCCCCCUGGACAAAGACUGACGCUCAGGUGCGAAAGCGUGGGGAGCAAACAGGAUUAGAUACCCUGGUAGUCCACGCCGUAAACGAUGUCGAUUUGGAGGUUGUGCCCUUGAGGCGUGGCUUCCGGAGCUAACGCGUUAAAUCGACCGCCUGGGGAGUACGGCCGCAAGGUUAAAACUCAAAUGAAUUGACGGGGGCCCGCACAAGCGGUGGAGCAUGUGGUUUAAUUCGAUGCAACGCGAAGAACCUUACCUGGUCUUGACAUCCACAGAACUUUCCAGAGAUGCAUUGGUGCCUUCGGGAACUCUGAGACAGGUGCUGCAUGGCUGUCGUCAGCUCGUGUCGUGAAAU